This 427-nucleotide ribosomal RNA is filed under the name uncultured bacterium. Its description in RNAcentral is "partial 16S ribosomal RNA". It matches the Rfam family "Bacterial small subunit ribosomal RNA", at positions 355 to 774 of the family's 1533-position model. The record is from RNAcentral.
UGGGGAAUAUUGCACAAUGGGCGCAAGCCUGAUGCAGCCAUGCCGCGUGUAUGAAGAAGGCCUUCGGGUUGUAAAGUACUUUCAGCGGGGAGGAAGGUGUUGAGGCUAAUAACCUCAGCAAUUGACGUUACCCGCAGAAGAAGCACCGACUAACUCCGUGCCAGCAGCCGCGGUAAUACGGAGGGUGCAAGCGUUAAUCGGAAUUACUGGGCGUAAAGCGCACGCAGGCGGUCUGUCAAGUCGGAUGUGAAAUCCCCGGGCUCAACCUGGGAACUGCAUUCGAAACUGGCAGGCUAGAGUCUUGUAGAGGGGGGUAGAAUUCCAGGUGUAGCGGUGAAAUGCGUAGAGAUCUGGAGGAAUACCGGUGGCGAAGGCGGCCCCCUGGACAAAGACUGACGCUCAGGUGCGAAAGCGUGGGGAGCAAACA